Molecule: ribosomal RNA, 424 nt
Filed under: Verrucomicrobiota bacterium
Lineage: Bacteria; Pseudomonadati; Verrucomicrobiota
Description: Verrucomicrobia bacterium partial 16S ribosomal RNA
Rfam family: Bacterial small subunit ribosomal RNA
Source: RNAcentral
UGAGGAAUAUUGGUCAAUGGACGAGAGUCUGAACCAGCCAAGUAGCGUGCAGGAUGACGGCCCUAUGGGUUGUAAACUGCUUUUGUUUGGGAAUAAUCGACAUUACGUGUAAUGUUUUGCAUGUACCAUUCGAAUAAGGACCGGCUAAUUCCGUGCCAGCAGCCGCGGUAAUACGGAAGGUCCAGGCGUUAUCCGGAUUUAUUGGGUUUAAAGGGAGUGUAGGCGGUUGGUUAAGCGUGUUGUGAAAUGUAGAUGCUCAACAUCUGACUUGCAGCGCGAACUGGCUGACUUGAGUACACACAACGUAGGCGGAAUUCAUGGUGUAGCGGUGAAAUGCUUAGAUAUCAUGAAGAACUACGAUUGCGAAGGCAGCUUACGGGAGUGUUACUGACGCUUAAGCUCGAAGGUGCGGGUAUCGAACAGG